Molecule: ribosomal RNA, 399 nt
Filed under: uncultured bacterium
Lineage: Bacteria
Description: bacterial SSU rRNA
Rfam family: Bacterial small subunit ribosomal RNA
Source: RNAcentral
AACGAACGCUGGCGGCGCGCCUAAUACAUGCAAGUCGAACGAGAAGCUGUAGCAAUACAGUUGUACAGUGGCGAACGGGUGAGGAAUACAUGGGUGACCUACCCUCGAGUGGGGAAUAACCAGCCGAAAGGUUGGCUAAUACCGCGUACGCUUCCCAGUCUACGGGUUGGGAAGGAAAGCGAUGCCGUGGGUAUCGCGCUCAAGGUUGGGCUCAUGUCCUAUCAGCUUGNGGUGGGGUAACGGCUCACCAAGGCAACGACGGGUAGCUGGUCUGAGAGGACGAUCAGCCACACUGGCACUGCGACACGGGCCAGACUCCUACGGGAGGCAGCAGUAAGAUAUUGCGCAAUGGGACGAAAGCCUGACGCAGCGACGCCGCGGUGGGGGAUGGAAGGUCUU